AGCGAACAGACGAGGAGCUUGCUCCUCUGACGUUAGCGGCGGACGGGUGAGUAACACGUGGAUAACCUACCUAUAAGACUGGGAUAACUUCGGGAAACCGGAGCUAAUACCGGAUAAUAUAUUGAACCGCAUGGUUCAAUAGUGAAAGACGGUUUUGCUGUCACUUAUAGAUGGAUCCGCGCCGCAUUAGCUAGUUGGUAAGGUAACGGCUUACCAAGGCAACGAUGCGUAGCCGACCUGAGAGGGUGAUCGGCCACACUGGAACUGAGACACGGUCCAGACUCCUACGGGAGGCAGCAGUAGGGAAUCUUCCGCAAUGGGCGAAAGCUUGACGGAGCAACGCCGCGUGAGUGAUGAAGGUCUUCGGAUCGUAAAACUCUGUUAUUAGGGAAGAACAAAUGUGUAAGUAACUAUGCACGUCUUGACGGUACCUAAUCAGAAAGCCACGGCUAACUACGUGCCAGCAGCCGCGGUAAUACGUAGGUGGCAAGCGUUAUCCGGAAUUAUUGGGCGUAAAGCGCGCGUAGGCGGUUUUUUAAGUCUGAUGUGAAAGCCCACGGCUCAACCGUGGAGGGUCAUUGGAAACUGGAAAACUUGAGUGCAGAAGAGGAAAGUGGAAUUCCAUGUGUAGCGGUGAAAUGCGCAGAGAUAUGGAGGAACACCAGUGGCGAAGGCGACUUUCUGGUCUGUAACUGACGCUGAUGUGCGAAAGCGUGGGGAUCAAACAGGAUUAG
RNAcentral lists this ribosomal RNA (734 nucleotides) under uncultured Staphylococcus sp. RNAcentral describes it as "bacterial SSU rRNA". It matches the Rfam family "Bacterial small subunit ribosomal RNA", at positions 65 to 781 of the family's 1533-position model. Lineage: Bacteria; Bacillati; Bacillota; Bacilli; Caryophanales; Staphylococcaceae. The record is from RNAcentral.